AUGUUAACCAUAUUCUUUACUUGGAAUGUAGCUUUCUUAAAGUACAAGAGUCUGGGUGCUGCCCUCACCAGCCUCACCACAAGAACUGACGCAGGGAGAAAAAAGGAUGAGAAAACCCAAACAGAUUUGCUGGUCAACACUAAACACAUAAACAUACGAAACAGAGAACAGAAAAGAAAAGAAAAAGAAAAAAACCUACAUUAACCCAAAGGAACAGUCUCUUUUUUUCUAGCAACUAAAUCUCAACCUCUUCCUUGAUUUUACUCCCUGCUCUUCAAAGGGAGGUGAGAAUUGCUUUGACAAAGCACAAAACUGACAGUACGAGCCCCAGUUAUGAUUUGACCAAUAUCACUGUGUCCAUUUUGGACAGAAACAUGAUGAGUUUGGGAAUGACUCCAGAUCCCCGCCCAUGUACCUUUCAAUGUAUUUUCUCCUUUGAGAGCUGUUUACAUUGUUACCGUGCAGUUUAGAUUCUGUGUUUUGUAGCAGAAAGCAGAAAAAUAGUUGUAAGAAUAAUUGUGGCUGAGCUCUAUCUCGCAUUCCUUGCAUACCCAAAAUUCCUCACGAACGUGGCGUGCACCCUAGCUAUGGUUAAUCCCAAAAUUGUUGCUCUGCUGCCUUCAAAGUCACACAGGUAUGGAACUGCACUGGAGAAAUGUGGGAGGUUCCUUACUAUGGAGAACAUGAACUCCAUUAUCACUCUCCUAGCUCCUGAGCUGCUCAUUUGAUUGGGCUGAGCUUAUUAUGGACUAUGACAAAUACCUAGGUUUAAAUAUGACCAAUUUAACACGUUAAUAGCACACUGCCUUAUCUACACUAGGCUGUUCACACAUUAGCGUUAGCUAACCCCUUCCAAGUCCUAAUCUAGACAAAACCUUUGUGUCAUCGAAGUGGUGAAAAUGGGCUUUAUCUGGGCCAGAGAUGUGGCCUUUAAACCCCCAAUGCCAUCAUCCAACUUUCAUUUUCAGAGAGCACAGUAAAUCCCAGACAAGAUCAAUGAGACAGGAACAACAGAGCAGAAUAAGAACAUGCAUACUAAUGGUCCCUUGCCUAACCUCGUUUUAUUAGCUAUCUUCAUUCUCUGGUGCUAUGGUUUAUUUAGCUUGCCCAGUCAGAUUUGAGAAACAGCACAAUCAUCUGAGGGGGUUUUUUCCCUCUAAAUCCUUUGUCAGUGCACUCUGAUGUUACUAACAAGCUGUCUCUUGGAUGGGUUCAAGGAACCUACCAAAAAAUAAAAUAAAAAUAUUCUGGACUUUCCA
RNAcentral lists this long non-coding RNA (1259 nucleotides) under Chrysemys picta bellii (western painted turtle). RNAcentral's name for it is "lncRNA (ENSCPBG00000024772.1)". Lineage: Eukaryota; Metazoa; Chordata; Testudines; Emydidae. The record is from RNAcentral.